This 459-nucleotide ribosomal RNA is filed under the name uncultured bacterium. RNAcentral's name for it is "partial 16S ribosomal RNA". It matches the Rfam family "Bacterial small subunit ribosomal RNA", at positions 338 to 795 of the family's 1533-position model. The record is from RNAcentral.
CCUACGGGAGGCAGCAGUGAGGAAUAUUGGUCAAUGGGAGAGAUCCUGAACCAGCCAAGCCGCGUGAGGGAAGACGGCCCUAUGGGUUGUAAACCUCUUUUGUCGGAGAACAAAACCCGGGACGUGUCCCGGACUGCGUGUAUCCGAAGAAAAAGCAUCGGCUAACUCCGUGCCAGCAGCCGCGGUAAUACGGAGGAUGCGAGCGUUAUCCGGAUUUAUUGGGUUUAAAGGGGGCGUAGGCGGUCCGUUAAGUCAGCGGGAAAAUUGCGGGGCUCAACCCCGUCGAGCCGUUGAGACGGGCAGACUUGAGUUGGCGAGAAGUACGCGGAAUGCGCGGUGUAGCGGUGAAAUGCAUAGAUAUCGCGCAGAACUCCGAUUGCGAAGGCAGCGUACCGGCGCCAGACUGACGCUGAGGCACGAAAGCGUGGGGAUCGAACAGGAUUAGAUACCCUAGUAGUC